Mus musculus (house mouse) is the source of this 4346-nucleotide long non-coding RNA. RefSeq annotates it as predicted gene, 38512. The transcript is spliced from 3 exons. Lineage: Eukaryota; Metazoa; Chordata; Mammalia; Rodentia; Muridae. The record is from RefSeq and is a predicted model, not a curated record.
ACACACCCCUUCCACUUCCACUCCCCCUCCACUCUCUCUCCUCCAUAUACCCUGGUGGGGGGCACAGAGUUUAACUUCUGUCAUCUUUCCUCAAACUCCACCCACUCUGCUUUUGGAGACAGGGUCUUUGACUGUCUCUGUCUCCCCAGCAGGCCUGGCACUCUAAGUGCACACCCCACAGCCUGGUUUUCCCUGUGGGUUCUGAGAACCAUGCCCUAGUCCUCAGGGUUUCUGGGUAAGAGCUGCCUCCCCAGCUUUCCAUUCUCUGAUGAUGUUGCCCUGAAGGAAUGGCUGCCCAGGGCACUGACCACUCUUCUCUGACUGGGUGGUCACAGCUCUGCUGACAUUUUGGCAUCAUCCGCAUGCUCCUGCACUGCCCCCAUCACAUUGCAUCACUGUUAUUAACUCCUCUGCACUGGAGUGCUGCCGGGAGGGAAUGAGCCCACCGAGAGAGCUCUCCAUGCUAUACCGAGUUGCCCAGCACAAAGCAGGCGCUCAGGAAACAGUGACACUAAUGACCAAGUAGUUAAGUGAAUCUUUGCAUCUUAAACCUUGUUUGACAGAUUACACCAUCGCCUUUAAAGAAUGAUUUUUGAACCAUAAGUUCUGGAAGACAUCAUAGUCUGUGUUCUACUGAGUCACAAUGCAUAUCAUUUUAUUACUUACUCUGAGAUAUUUUAAAGUAAAAUUUAUUCAACUUGGUGCUAUCCAGAUAUAUUUGCUUCUGAUGGUGAAAUCAUGUUCAGUGGCACAGAGAAAACAUGCCUUUAAAGUUGAGUAAGAAUACGAACUUGCUAGUCCUGGGUAUAUGCUGAGCUAUCCACAAGACCAGUUUGAAAGGAGAUGGGCUAAUGUGGAAAGAUUUGAAAACUCUUGCAGUGACAACUGGGAGGACACACUGGACCUGACUGGAGGGUGGCAAUGAAGAACCAUGCUUUUCCAUUCUCCACCUACCAGAGAGAGCUCCAGCUGCCUGCACUGACCUCCUGUGUGGUGAGGCAGGUUGGAGGAGCUCAGGCACACUUAACAAAUGCUUCUGGUUCUGGGGAUGAGAGAGCUGCUGGGUGUGUCCUCCUGGGGUUGUGACGACAGUGUGGGGAAGGACAGACACCCCACACCUACGCCUUUCCACUUUGCACUGGGCCAAAGUAUUUAGUCUGCUCUGUCUUGCCCACUGCUGGCCUCCUUGGGAAUCUGAAGAUGAGCUGGCAUCUCUGCAGCUGUCUUGAAGAGCUCGAAGGCCCAGAGAGAAGAAGUGACUUUGGGAUGGACCCUGGGAGUGGACCCUGGGAGUUGAGCUUCCUGCCUUCCAGUUUAAGGUCUUCCAUAUUUCUGCUGGUGAAGAGUGCAUGGGUUUGGCCUCACUCUGCAGGGGAAUGGUGGCUUGGUCCUUUCUUGGUAGAGCUGCCAGAAGAGAGCUGUGGAGAACGCCAGGCCUUCCUUCCUUCACCACACACACACACACACACACACACACACACACACACACACACACAGAGGUAGCCCCGCCCCACUCCAUUAAUAGCCCCACUCCAGUUCUCAGAGUGUGUAUCUUUAUUUCACAGUUUUACUGGAAGCCUACAAGCAUCUCCAAUGCAUGCAUUUCUCUAGUAGAGUUGGUCUUUCCAGUGUUCCUGGCCUAGAUUCCCUUUGGAACUCUUAUUUUUGGCCCAAGUUCAUAGGCUUUGUAAAAAGUAUAACUUCCCACAUGCUGCACACUCUCCAGUUGUCAAAAACCUCCUGGAAAACAGACAAGGAGGGAGGUGUGCCGGCUUCACACGCCCACUCCUGAACUCCUGCCUCCCUCUCUGAGCUUCAUUUAUAGUUCCUCUCCCUAAGCAGCGCUGGGUUAGUUCAUUUUCCUGUCUUACAAAUCUGUAAAUUUGGCUUUCUUGUUUUGCUAAAUACUUUUUUUUUUAAAUUGCUCUCAGAGAUCCAGGUUGAGAAAAUGCUUGUAUUUCAAAAGGCACUUAACUCUUGAUUUAUCAGAUGGCAGUUUAGUACUUUGUUUGGGAGAGAGUGCUAGAAGCCAAGGUCAUUCAAACUCUUGUUCCUACCCUCCAAAUUUCUGUUGAGGUUGCUCAGUAGGAUGAAUUUGAGGAAAUUAGGGAAGGGGAGAGAGGAGACAGGAAGCAAGGAGGGGGAGAGAGAGAGGGGGGGCAGGAGAGAGACAGAGAGAGAGUGUGUUUCUAGUAGUUCAAACACAGAGUUUUACAAACAUCUACACUUUUCAAAUGUGAAUUAUUUUCUUUUCAUUUUCUUUUCAUAGCCGAGACCAGGCCAAGCUUCUCGUGAGACCCUUCUGAAAACUGAGAAUCUGCUUCUCUGAAAUAGCUUGGCUCAGGCUCCUCCUCCCCAAGGGCACCUGUGUUGCUUCAGUGUAGACGCAAAUACACCCAAUAGGUCCAGUGCUCAGAGGCCAAAGGGCAGCUAAGGGUUGAGAUGACCUCUGUUCACUGCAGCGGUUAAAAACUCCUGCAGGUAAAAUUUCUUGCUGUGUGUGACCUGAUUUGAGGCACGGGUCUUUGUUUUCGCCGGGUGUGCUUUCCGUUUGUUUUUUGUAAACAUACAGCGUUGAUGCCACACUCUGCAAGGUCUGUGUAUAUCAAUGUGUUUGUGCCAGUUGAAAUAGCAAAACAAAACCAAACAAAAACGGAAAAAGCACUUCAUUUAGAAUUCUCUUACCCUCCGCCUGGUUGAAACAAUUUGUAGAGGUGCCUCGCUAAGGGAAGGACACUGGUUCAAAAACUGUUGGAAAGAAACCGGCCAGCUCCCUCUCUCUGCACAGGUUCACAGCUUAGGAAUUGAAGUUUAGGACAAACACCUAAUUUUGACCAAAGGGACUUGGUUCAUUUAAAAAAAAAUCCCCCUGCUCUCUCUUCUGUUCAGAUCUGCAAGGUUGUUUAAUUGAAGUCCUGUUUUGUGGGCGCAGAUGCACGAGGAGGUUGAAUCAUCGUCAGCCUCAUUUGGUGUUCUGAUGCUGUGUGUUCCUCAUUAUUAUUCCCAGAAUGUCCACUGGACCUUAUGCUCCUCCUCAGGAAAACUCACAAGCAUUGAGCAGUCAAAGAGUCCUUUCUUCUCCUCCCGCCCCCUCGCCCCCAUCUUCGUUGAAACUUUGCCAGUAUCAGAUCUCACUCUGUCUGUGGCGCAUUAAAAUGAAGUGCCUCCCUCCCUGCAGAUCCCCCAGCCUCCGCUCCGCUCUCCAGCCCCACAGUUUCUUCCUAAGUGGGUAGCCUCUUUUGCUUGCUGCGGAUGAACCCCCCCCCCCCCAGUCUGGCUCCUUAGUGCUGGUUUUGGAUUGGGGGGCUGUGAAGGGAGAGAAGGACCUGGCCCGAGUGCGGCAGGAGCAGCUGUGGCCACUUAGAAGCUGAAGCGCCGGACUCUGUCCCCUCCCCCCAGACUAAGGGCGCUUCACAGACUCCCCUCCUGCAAUCCCGUGGGUCACCGCAGAAACCCUGACCGCUAGGGCUCAGCUUAUUAUUGUUGUUACAAUUAUUGGGUUGUUGUUUCCUUCUGAUAACAAGAUCUUCGGAGCAGGGGCCCCGAGAGUGAAUUAUGUUUUUGUAAGCAAGUUCCAAUGUAAGAAGAAAUGCAAGAGACAAUAAGUUCCAAGGUCUACUCUGUGCAAUGAUGAAAACCCAAGAUGGCAGGAGACGAAGCAUUGGGAGAAAGUGCCCCAAUGUCGUCAGUGCCUUAGUUUGUAUUUUACAGAUGAGAGCAUUGGCUGAGAUUUACAAAGAACAAACAAGUCCAUAGUCAGAUGCUAGAAACAAUUUCAACCCAGUGCUGACUGACGACAGGGAAGAGAACCAGACUGCUAAAGUUAAGGGGGAGUCUAGUGAUGAACUGUAAAAAAUUAAACAUUUUAAAUAGAAACAACAACAAAUAAAACUUGUUUUAAAAGGCUUUUUGUUUAUUCAUUUGUUUCUUUCUCCAACUUUCUCUUGGAAUUAGAAUUUUAAGGUAAAGGUUUGCUUGAUUAAGAUUUAUAACUACAUUAUUUUAAGUUAAACUUAGUUUUUACUAAACAAGGAGAACCAAAAGGAAAUACAAGCUGGACAAUUUUUUCCAUGUAUUUGAUAUCAGUAAGCAGCUUCUAUUAUCACACUACACAUUUGGAGGCAGUUUGCCCAAGGUACUUAUUUUUAAAAUUCCAGGGUUGAUGUACUUCAGUCUUUAGUAGCUAGCUACUCUCAUCCACCUGGAAGCAGAGUGCCUAUCCCGCAGAAUGUCUAAUGAUCACAGGAAUUCAGUCUCCUCAGCCGAUGACCUCAUUUUAUCCAUCAGGAAGCCAAGAACCCAAGCAGCCAAGCAACUUUCUUGUCCAAAGCUUCAGUGUGGGUCUA